Molecule: ribosomal RNA, 406 nt
Filed under: uncultured bacterium
Lineage: Bacteria
Description: partial 16S ribosomal RNA
Rfam family: Bacterial small subunit ribosomal RNA
Source: RNAcentral
AUUGAACGCUGGCGGCCGGCCUAACACAUGCAAGUCGAGCGAGCGGCGGACGGGUGAGUAAUGUCUGGGAAACUGCCUGAUGGAGGGGGAUAACUACUGGAAACGGUAGCUAAUACCGCAUACCAUCAGAUGUGCCCAGAUGUGCUUAUCUAUUAGGUGGGGUAACGGCUCACCUAGGCGACGAUCCCUAGCUGGUCUGAGAGGAUGACCAGCAACACUGGAACUGAGACACGGUCCAGAAUCCUACGGGAGGCAGCAGUGGGGAAUAUGGCACAAUGGGCGCAAGCCUGAUGCAGCCAUGCCGCGUGUGUGAAGAAGGCCUGCGGGUUGUAAAGCACUUUCAGCGGGGAGGCGUGAACAGAAGAAGAAGCACCGGCUAACUCCGUGCCAGCAGCCGCGGUAAUAA